This 64-nucleotide transfer RNA is filed under the name Telchinia acerata. RNAcentral describes it as "Acraea acerata tRNA-His". Lineage: Eukaryota; Metazoa; Arthropoda; Insecta; Lepidoptera; Nymphalidae. The record is from RNAcentral.
ACUUAAAUAGUUUAAAUAAAAUAUUGAUUUGUGGCGUCAAAGAUAUGAUAAUUCAUUUUUAGUU